UACAGAGGGGGCAAGCGUUAUUCGGAAUUAUUGGGCGUAAAGGGCGCGUAGGCGGCCUGGCAAGUGGAAGGUGAAAUCCCUCGGCUUAACCGAGGAACUGCCUCCCAAACUGCUUGGCUUGAGACCGGGAGAGGUGAGUGGAAUUCCCAGUGUAGCGGUGAAAUGCGUAGAUAUUGGGAGGAACACCAGUGGCGAAGGCGGCUCACUGGACCGGUACUGGCGCUGAGGUGCGAAAGCGUGGGGAGCAAACAGG
RNAcentral lists this ribosomal RNA (253 nucleotides) under uncultured bacterium. Its description in RNAcentral is "partial 16S ribosomal RNA". It matches the Rfam family "Bacterial small subunit ribosomal RNA", at positions 524 to 776 of the family's 1533-position model. The record is from RNAcentral.